Long non-coding RNA from Neltuma alba, 308 nucleotides. RefSeq lists it as uncharacterized. Lineage: Eukaryota; Viridiplantae; Streptophyta; Magnoliopsida; Fabales; Fabaceae. The transcript has 2 exons. The record is from RefSeq and is a predicted model, not a curated record.
UGCUUUCCAUUCUUCUUCACUAAUCGCUACUUGCCAGUUGCUGAACGGAGCACCAGAGGCUCACAACGGACUGCAUUAUAGCGACGUAUUCAGCUGGUCGCACACGCAAAUAGCUAGUGCUUGAACAAGAAGAAGAAAUUGUGUUGAAGAUUUAAUGCUUUGCGGUGGUUUGAUAAUUUGUUGUAAUUGGAGUAACUAGCAAGAACAAAUUGUGUUAAUUUGAUAAUUUCAUAUUUUCUGUUUGUAUUGUAGAUAAUUUAGGUUGAGUUAUUGUAAUUUUAAAUUAAUUUAUGUGUAUUAAUUUUUUU